Molecule: transfer RNA, 74 nt
Filed under: Sarcopeltis skottsbergii
Lineage: Eukaryota; Rhodophyta; Florideophyceae; Gigartinales; Gigartinaceae
Description: tRNA-Pro
Rfam family: tRNA
About the family: Transfer RNA (tRNA) molecules are approximately 80 nucleotides in length.
Source: RNAcentral
UAGGGUAUGACGUAAAAGGUUAACGUGUUUGCCUUGGGCGCAAAAAAUCGUAGGUUCGAAUCCUACUACCCUAA